ACGCGCCCCUCUCUUUUGCUCAAGCAGACGGCCGGCUGCGAUACUCACGUCCAUUCUCACACGCCCGACCGCCCUCCGUUCAACCGACGACGCCGCCGUCGUUGUGUCUGUCCAAUCGCCAUUGUCGCCAAAGAAUAGUGGAGGUUGAGCAGUUUCCCUGAUUCAGAAGAAAUCUCCUUCUCUAAAGAAGCUUGCGGCCUCGAAGCAUCUGGAAAUUGAUCUUAGAAGACAGGAGUUGGUCUCGUGGCUAGGGCUUUAACCGUUCGGAAUAGAAAGUCUCGGUCAACGAAGUGGAGUGGGCUGAAAGCAGCAGAGGAAAAAAUUUCUUUCAAGAGAACCUGGAUCCUUUGGUUCGGGAAAAGCUGCUUCACGCUCUUGCCUCGGUUACUUUGCAAGCUUGCUUCUCAGCUUGCUUUGCUCUAAGUUGACCUCUUACCUUUGAAAAAGGUCAGACCUAUUCUGAAGAAAGGAUAUUUCACCUUCGUUUACAAUUGUAUUUGAGAAAGAAAGUCCAGUGAUUCAGGCACUGUCGUCGUCUACAAGGCAACACUCCAAAAAAGUUAGGGUUGUUUACAUUUCAAGCUACUUGGUGAAGAUUUUCCUUAAGAUAAGAACAAAGACUCUUCUUCUUCUUUCUUUCUUCUACAUCAUUUUCCAACUCCAGUUGCUUUUGGAUUUCGCUUUGGGAUAGCUCAUUUUAGAUAGGGCUAUUGAAAAAUGAAAGGAGAAAAACCAAACCCAAGCUUAUGGAAAAAAAAAUUCCUAUCUCUCCAUUUUUAUUUGAGUCCAAAAGGAAACCAGAGCAUUGAUUGCUUAGGGUGAAAAUGAAAGGAACAAGUUUACAUUCCUUUGUCUAUUGCAACACACUCUCCUCUCUCCCUCACUCAUUUUCUCAGUGUUGCUAUUCUGGGAAUUGUGUUUGUAAAGAAAUAGGUGAUCCGUUGCAAUGUGGGAAAUUAUAUGUUGAAAUUUGAGAUACUUUAGUAUUUCAAGCUUCUUCAGGUAUUCCCCAGAGAAAAUAUGGUACAUUGAUCAAAUGCUGAAGGUUCUCUCUGUGUUUAAUAUCGCGAAUCUGACUAUUGGAUGCCAGAAGAAGCUAGAAAUUGAUGAUGACCAGAAACUGUAGUGGAAGCUCUAUUUUUCAUGUGUUUUAAAAAAGAUAUACGCUUUGUGAAGCAUACACCCCUUUUCAACAUGUCAGGGUUGUCUUGAUCUUUCUUCCAUUUGACAGGUGGGAGGAACUUUGAAGUAAUUGGUUUCAUUACUUCCUUGGUUAACUGAACUGUGCAGUUUGAUGUGAGUUUGACCCGAACAGCUGACUGCGAGUUUGACGUGAACGACUCAGCAAGCUCCUAACUACAGUAAGCUUGAGGUGAGGAUCACGUGGAGCAAAUGGCAUUACAUUAGAUAAGAACAGUUUUAAAAUCUCAGGAAAAUGGUUACUGUUAGUUUACAAACAGUAUGCCUUUAGAGUUUCAUUGAUCUUAAAGAAGUUAUUUUUUGAACAAAACGCAAGGGAAAAAGCUCAUAUGGUUUUAUCCUUAUAAAACAUCUUUAGUAAUUUAUAUUUUGUCUCAUUUAGAUUUCUCUCUCAUUUUGUGCAUUACACCAAAACUGAAAAGAGAAACUGUGGGCUGGGUGGUUUUUUAGUUACUAGUGAGUGGCACGGGUACUGUAACAACAACAUAAUAAUUGGAUCGUUUUCAUUUUUACUUCCAUUUUGGAUGAUGAAUGCUUUUGGUUUGAAAUCCAAUCUAGCUACCGGGUUAUCUUCCUAUUUGAUAGACUUGAACGUUCAAGCUUACAACAUAUAAGGGUGGAACAUCCUCCCCUUGCAUAUAUGCAGUUCCAACUUAACCAUGAACAUAUUUUUCUCUUUUAUCUCUGUUAAGUAUUUACAUCUUUUUAAAUGGAUUACACUAACUCUAUGCCCUUAAAACAAAACAAGACCAUGGUUAAACCGUUUGGCUGUGUACUCUCCUGUCUUCAUUUUAUUUUUAGCUCUUUUGAAAUCACAUUUUAUUUGCGUUUGUUUUCCUCGUAUCAAUAUUUUGUUGAACAUUUGUAGAUCUUGUCAUUGCAAAUAUGAAUUCCUCGAGUACUUUUUAUUCUCCUAGAUA
Long non-coding RNA from Cucumis melo (muskmelon), 2120 nucleotides. RefSeq lists it as uncharacterized. The transcript has 6 exons. The record is from RefSeq and is a predicted model, not a curated record. Lineage: Eukaryota; Viridiplantae; Streptophyta; Magnoliopsida; Cucurbitales; Cucurbitaceae.